Molecule: transfer RNA, 77 nt
Filed under: Clostridiales bacterium
Lineage: Bacteria; Bacillati; Bacillota; Clostridia; Eubacteriales
Also listed under: 1 other name
Description: tRNA-Arg
Rfam family: tRNA
About the family: Transfer RNA (tRNA) molecules are approximately 80 nucleotides in length. Their secondary structure includes four short double-helical elements and three loops (D, anti-codon, and T loops). Further hydrogen bonds mediate the characteristic L-shaped molecular structure. tRNAs have two regions of fundamental functional importance: the anti-codon, which is responsible for specific mRNA codon recognition, and the 3' end, to which the tRNAs corresponding amino acid is attached (by aminoacyl-tRNA synthetases). tRNAs cope with the degeneracy of the genetic code in two manners: having more than one tRNA (with a specific anti-codon) for a particular amino acid; and 'wobble' base-pairing, i.e. permitting non-standard base-pairing at the 3rd anti-codon position.
Source: RNAcentral
GCGCAUGUAGCUCAGCAGGAUAGAGCGGCGGUUUCCUAAACCGUAGGCCGGGGGUUCGAAUCCCUCCAUGCGCACCA